GACGUAGGGUGCGAACGUUGUCCGGAUUUAUUGGGCGUAAAGAGCUCGUAGGCGGCUCGUCGCGUCGACCGUGAAAACCCGCAGCUUAACUGCGGGCUUGCGGUUGAUACGGGCGGGCUAGAGUUCGGUAGGGGAGACUGGAAUUCCUGGUGUAGCGGUGAAAUGCGCAGAUAUCAGGAGGAACACCGGUGGCGAAGGCGGGUCUCUGGGCCGAUACUGACGCUGAGGAGCGAAAGCGUGGGGAGCGAACAGG
This 253-nucleotide ribosomal RNA is filed under the name uncultured bacterium. RNAcentral's name for it is "partial 16S ribosomal RNA". It matches the Rfam family "Bacterial small subunit ribosomal RNA", at positions 524 to 776 of the family's 1533-position model. The record is from RNAcentral.